This is a long non-coding RNA of Daphnia pulicaria, 347 nucleotides long. RefSeq lists it as uncharacterized. The record is from RefSeq and is a predicted model, not a curated record. The transcript is spliced from 2 exons. Lineage: Eukaryota; Metazoa; Arthropoda; Branchiopoda; Diplostraca; Daphniidae.
UUCCCCUGCAGGAGAGAGACACGACGAGCACGUCACUCUCUAUUUGACUCCCUAAACACAGAAACGAAGUUGUUCUCACCAGGGUGGAAAUAGAUUUUUUGAACAUUUUAUCGGCAGUUGAGAAAUAUAUACAGGAGAAUUGUAGAUAAACUUACGGCCUGACGCGAUGGAAUUAGGAUAACAAAUAAAAUAGCAGUGAAAUAAGCAAAGAACUGACUUGACAUUUGUGAUAAAAAUGUUUCGUAAUUUUGCAGAAUAUUAAGUUAGAAAUGGUUGCAAGCGUUACGAACCGUGAUUUUACUGAAAUACACUGCCGAAAAGUAAAAGGAUGUUCUGCUCAAUUAAAA